GACGGAGGGUGCUAGCGUUGUUCGGAAUCACUGGGCGUAAAGGGCGCGUAGGCGGCCUGGAAAGUCAGAUGUGAAAGCCCGGGGCUCAACCCCGGAACGGCAUUUGAGACUCCCUGGCUGGAGGUCGAGAGAGGAGAGUGGAAUACCCAGUGUAGAGGUGAAAUUCGUAGAUAUUGGGUGGAACACCAGUGGCGAAAGCGGCUCUCUGGCUCGAACCUGACGCUGAGGCGCGAAAGCGUGGGGAGCAAACAGG
Molecule: ribosomal RNA, 253 nt
Filed under: uncultured bacterium
Lineage: Bacteria
Description: partial 16S ribosomal RNA
Rfam family: Bacterial small subunit ribosomal RNA
Source: RNAcentral